RNAcentral lists this small nucleolar RNA (126 nucleotides) under Echinops telfairi (small Madagascar hedgehog). RNAcentral describes it as "Small nucleolar RNA SNORA61 (ENSETEG00000025021.1)". The record is from RNAcentral. Lineage: Eukaryota; Metazoa; Chordata; Mammalia; Afrosoricida; Tenrecidae.
UACCUCCAGAUAUUUUACCUCUCUGAUCCAAAUAGUGGUCUGGGUGGCUAAGAAAAAUGAAAAGUAAAACUGAAGUUGACUUGGCAUCAUCAAUGGCAUACAAGUUCAUGUCAAACUAUCAAAAGC